AUACGGAGGGUGCAGGCGUUAAUCGGAAUUACUGGGCGUAAAGCGUACGUAGGCGGUCCGUUAAGUUAGAUGUGAAAGCCCCGGGCUUAACCUGGGAACUGCAUUUAAAACUGGCGAACUAGAGUUGAGUAGAGGGGAGUGGAAUUUCAGGUGUAGCGGUGAAAUGCGUAGAGAUCUGAAGGAACACCAGUGGCGAAGGCGACUCCCUGGACUCGAACUGACGCUGAGGUACGAAAGCGUGGGUAGCAAACGGGAUUAGAAACCCUAGUAGUCC
RNAcentral lists this ribosomal RNA (274 nucleotides) under uncultured bacterium. RNAcentral describes it as "partial 16S ribosomal RNA". It matches the Rfam family "Bacterial small subunit ribosomal RNA", at positions 523 to 796 of the family's 1533-position model. The record is from RNAcentral.